UGAGGGAUAUUGGUCAAUGGGCGCAAGCCUGAACCAGCGACGCCGCGUGGGUGAAGAAGGUCUUCGGAUCGUAAAGCCCUUUUCCCACUGAAGAGGAAGGACGGUAGGUGGGGAAGAGGUCUCGGCUAACUACGUGCCAGCAGCCGCGGUAAAACGUAGGAGACAAGCGUUAUCCGGAGUUACUGGGCGUAAAGGGCGUGCAGGUGGCGUCUUAAGUCUGUUGUGAAAGCGCCUGGCUUAACCGGGCGAGGCCAAUGGAGACUGAGAGGCUGGAGGACGGCGGAGNGGUGUGGAAUUCCGGGUGUAGUGGUGAAAUGCGUAGAGAUCCGGAGGAACACCAGAGGCGAAGGCGGCACUCUAAGCCGUACCUGACACUGAGACGCGACAGCACGGGGAGCAAACG
RNAcentral lists this ribosomal RNA (403 nucleotides) under uncultured bacterium. RNAcentral describes it as "bacterial SSU rRNA". It matches the Rfam family "Bacterial small subunit ribosomal RNA", at positions 355 to 774 of the family's 1533-position model. The record is from RNAcentral.